Quercus lobata is the source of this 1553-nucleotide long non-coding RNA. RefSeq lists it as uncharacterized. The record is from RefSeq and is a predicted model, not a curated record. NCBI's taxonomy places the organism in Eukaryota, Viridiplantae, Streptophyta, Magnoliopsida, Fagales, Fagaceae. The transcript is spliced from 7 exons.
UGGAUGAAAAUGAUGAUUUAGUGGUAGCAAUCUGAUUACUACAUAGUUUCAGAUAUAGCUUAAUAUCUCAUUCCCUGUGAAGCAUUAGUUUAUGUUCAUGUCAAAAUAUUGUAAACAAUUACUUUUUACCUAUGUACAUAAGCAGUGCUCAGAAAGCAUCAUGUUGAAAUUAAGUAGUCACAAGAACUAUUUUAAGAAAUAAGGUAGAGUUACAUGGAAUUUUUUUUAAUUUUAAAUGGGAGGUAGAGUGGAGAUAGGAUUCAAACUUAUGAACACCAAUUUUGAUGCUAUGAUAAACUACCAGUUGUCCCAAAAGCUUAAAUUGAUAGGAAAUAUUUCCUAAGCUAAACAUUAUUGUAACAAUUAUAAUGUAGAGUUUGUCCUGACUAAACCAGGUAACUCACCUUUUACACAAAAGCCACCAAUAUUGUCUCUUAAAUCUAUGAAGUUGCUGCAUCAACAGUCAGUGGAGGGCUUGUGAUUUUGUGCAAUAGAGUGGAGAAAAAAAGGAAUGUUACCUCCCGCAUGCUAAAGAUCUAUCUUUGUGUCAUCAACAAGCAUUUUGAUGUUUGAGGCUAAGAUAUAUCACAUUCUUGAUCUGAAUCAUUUUCUCAAGUCAUUAAGGACAUUAUGAUCCUCAGGUGGAUAUCAGAGAAUAUGGAUCUGUUACUGAUAAUCAACUUGCUACAUCAUUUCUCUUUAAGGAACAAGAUCUAUGAAUCUAUCAUAAUGAACAUUUUAGCUCAGAAUUUAUCUAGCAUUACUUAGGUGACCUGACUAAGCAACUGUCAGAAUCUUUCACACCUGAUAAUGCCAUCAGGUUUAGUCCAUGAACAAUUCGACAACAAUUUAAUGGUUUCCAUUCCAAGGAACCACUUUCCUUCUUUGGUGGAGUGCCAGGAGUGAGGUGGUCUGGUUUAAAACUCCAAGAGUUCCCAACAAAUUCACUAUUUGAGGAUGAUGCAACAAGUGAAACAUCCAUUGCUGACCUCUCGCUUCAUUCCCAAUAUGCCAUCUUCUCCAUCUGUGCCCCAUGUUAUCAGCAAUGGGUAGCUUUUGGAAACGGCAUGCAGACAUUUACGUCAAUUGUUGGAACAGAUGGUGGCAUGGUGCAACCAGUUGCUCUAACUUCAUUUUUACUUGCCCAGAGGAAUUUUCAUUUGUUAUCAGUGUUUUACAAUUCCCUGCUUUACAAGAAAUGUGGAUUACCAAAGAAGCAAAGUGUUAAAUGGCUGACGUAGUUCUGUGUGUACAUGUUCAACACCUCACCAAAUUUGACUCAAAUUUGGUGAUUUUUUUUAUCAAUAGGCUGAGAAGAGCACCUGUAUAUAUAACCAGCCAUGUAUAGUUCUUUAAAAGACACAACUUUGGUCUUUUGUAAACCAGGUUUAGAGAAUUUGAAAAUUCUUGUGGUGUGCUAGUUGUGGUGAGGGAGAGUUCUUUGGGUGUAAAUGGGACUUGGGUUUUGUGAGAGUGUUGUUAUGUCAAUUUUGUAAUCUCCUUAUUUUUUUAGUGAAAAUUUCUUCUGGAUGCUGCUCGUGGAUGUAGGCCUA